Molecule: ribosomal RNA, 459 nt
Filed under: uncultured bacterium
Lineage: Bacteria
Description: partial 16S ribosomal RNA
Rfam family: Bacterial small subunit ribosomal RNA
Source: RNAcentral
CCUACGGGAGGCAGCAGUGAGGAAUAUUGGUCAAUGGCCGGAAGGCUGAACCAGCCAAGCCGCGUGAAGGACGAAGGUGCCAAGCAUUGUAAACUUCUUUUGUCAAGGAACAAAAUCAGGCUCGAGAGCCUGACCGAGGGUACUUGAAGAAAAAGCAUCGGCUAACUCCGUGCCAGCAGCCGCGGUAAUACGGAGGAUGCGAGCGUUAUCCGGAUUUAUUGGGUUUAAAGGGUGCGUAGGCGGACUGUUAAGUCAGCGGUAAAAGCCCGGGGCUCAACCCCGACGAGCCGUUUAAACUGGCGGUCUUGAGAUGUCGAGAGGUAGGCGGAAUGUGCAGUGUAGCGGUGAAAUGCUUAGAUAUUGCGCAGAACUCCGAUUGCGAAGGCAGCAUACCGGCGGCGAUCUGACGCUGAGGCACGAAAGCGUGGGUAUCGAACAGGAUUAGAUACCCCUGUAGUC